CUGGCUUUCUUAGGGUUUCAGUCUUAACCCUCAAAGUUUCUUAUCAAGUUACCAAUAUAAGCUGUCUAAAUUGGACCCGAAACGAUGUAAACAUGUUGCCGUGUGACUCGAAAAGAUGCAGUCUAGAGUACCAUGUAGAUUGCCUGAAUCCGCGGAUUUUUAAAAUUCUCAAAGGAAAUUUUCUUACUCAGGUCGUCUUUGAUAUCGAUGAAUCAUUGAGGACAGAAGUGGCUAAGAAAUAUUUGGAUAAUGACUCUUUUGGAAGAUUGUACUGGGGAUUUCCAUCUUUAGUUGAUGACAUGGAGGGUUUGCCUCAAAGUCGUGGUUAAGCAACCUAUAUUACGGCAGAUAGUAUAUGUUGUCAUGUGCAGAAGAAAUUAGUAGCCUUGUGAAUUAUCUCAACACAAGUGAUCAUGUGGUGGUACACUUGAGAGAUUCUAUUUUAGAUUGGCAAAGUCUAAGUUCUUCAUUAGCGCGCAAACAAACAACACAUACUUCAGUUGAGACGCACAUGGCUAAUUCCACAGACUUGAAUAAAUCUUCCAAGAAACCUGACAGGAAUGCCUGUCCUGUAUUAA
Erigeron canadensis is the source of this 578-nucleotide long non-coding RNA. RefSeq lists it as uncharacterized. Lineage: Eukaryota; Viridiplantae; Streptophyta; Magnoliopsida; Asterales; Asteraceae. The record is from RefSeq and is a predicted model, not a curated record. The transcript is spliced from 3 exons.